GGUCAAGCGAAUAAGCGCACACGGUGGAUGCCUAGGCGGUCAGAGGCGAUGAAGGACGUGGUAGCCUGCGAAAAGUGUCGGGGAGCUGGCAACAAGCUUUGAUCCGGCAAUAUCCGAAUGGGGAAACCCACUGCUUCGGCAGUAUCCUGCAGUGAAUUCAUAGCUGCUGGAAGCGAACCCGGUGAACUGAAAUAUCUAAGUAACCGGAGGAAAAGAAAUCAACCGAGAUUCCCUAAGUAGUGACGAGCGAACGGGGAGCAGCCCUUAAGCUGGAAUGGCUUUAGAAAAACAAUCUGGAAAGAUUGGCCAUAGAAGGUGAUAGCCCUGUAUUUAAAAGGGCCACUCCAGUGAAGACGAGUAGGGCGGGGCACGUGAAACCCUGUCUGAAUAUGGGGGGACCAUCCUCCAAGGCUAAAUACUCCUGACCGACCGAUAGUGAACCAGUACCGUGAGGGAAAGGCGAAAAGAACCCCGGAGAGGGGAGUGAAAUAGAUCCUGAAACCGUGUGCGUACAAGCAGUAGGAGCUCGCAAGAGUGACUGCGUACCUUUUGUAUAAUGGGUCAGCGACUUACUGUUCGUGGCAAGCUUAACCGUAUAGGGGAGGCGAAGGGAAACCGAGUCUGAUAAGGGCGCAUAGUCGCGGGCAGUAGACCCGAAACCGGGUGAUCUAGUCAUGGCCAGGGUGAAGGUGCCGUAACAGGUACUGGAGGCCCGAACCCACGUCUGUUGCAAAAGACGGGGAUGAGCUGUGAUUAGGAGUGAAAAGCUAAUCGAACCCGGAGAUAGCUGGUUCUCCUCGAAAGCUAUUUAGGUAGCGCCUCAUAUGUAUCCUCUCGGGGGUAGAGCACUGUUAUGGCUAGGGGGUCAUCGCGACUUACCAAACCAUUGCAAACUCCGAAUACCGAGACGGACUGUAUGGGAGACACACGGCGGGUGCUAACGUCCGUCGUGAAAAGGGAAACAACCCAGACCCACAGCUAAGGUCCCAAAUUCACUGCUAAGUGGAAAACGAUGUGGAAAGGCAUAGACAGCCAGGAGGUUGGCUUAGAAGCAGCCACCCUUUAAAGAAAGCGUAAUAGCUCACUGGUCGAGUCGGUCUGCGCGGAAGAUUUAACGGGGCUAAGCAGUGAACCGAAGCUUGGGGUGCAUAAAACUUGUUUUAUGCGCGGUAGAGGAGCGUUCCGUAAGCCUGCGAAGGUGGAUUGAGAAGUCUGCUGGAGGUAUCGGAAGUGCGAAUGCUGACAUGAGUAACGAUAAUGCGGGUGAAAAGCCCGCACGCCGAAAGCCCAAGGUUUCCUUGCGCAACGUUAAUCGACGCAGGGUUAGUCGGUCCCUAAGGCGAGGGCGAAAGCCGUAGUCGAUGGGAAGCAGGUUAAUAUUCCUGCACCUCGCGUGAGUGCGAUGGAGGGACGGAGAAGGUUAGGUGUACCGGGCGUUGGUUGUCCCGGGGAAAGGCGGUAGGUUUGGAUCUUUGGCAAAUCCGGGAUCCUUUAAGACCGAGCACCGAGACGAGCCUUUAUGGCGAAGUCACUGAUACCACGCUUCCAGGAAAAGCUCCUAAGCUUCAGCUCACGAAGACCGUACCGUAAACCGACACAGGUGGGUAGGAUGAGAAUUCUCAGGCGCUUGAGAGAACUCGGGUGAAGGAACUAGGCAACAUGGCACCGUAACUUCGGGAGAAGGUGCACCCUUUUUGGUGGCUCGUGCGAGCUAUAGCUGAAGAGGGUCGCAGAAACCAGGCCGCUGCGACUGUUUAUCAAAAACACAGCACUCUGCAAACACGAAAGUGGACGUAUAGGGUGUGACGCCUGCCCGGUGCUGGAAGGUUAAUUGAUGGGGUCAGCCGCAAGGCGAAGCUCUUGAUCGAAGCCCCAGUAAACGGCGGCCGUAACUAUAACGGUCCUAAGGUAGCGAAAUUCCUUGUCGGGUAAGUUCCGACCUGCACGAAUGGCGUAACGACAGCGGCGCUGUCUCCACCCGAGACUCAGUGAAAUUGAAAUCGCUGUGAAGAUGCAGCGUUCCCGUGGCAAGACGGAAAGACCCCGUGAACCUUUACUAUAGCUUUACACUGAACGUUGAGUUCGUCUGUGUAGGAUAGGUGGGAGGCUAUGAAACUGUGGCGCUAGCUGCAGUGGAGCCAUCCUUGAAAUACCACCCUGUCGUGCUUGACGUUCUAACCUAGGUCCGUUAUCCGGAUCAGGGACCGUGUAUGGUGGGUAGUUUGACUGGGGCGGUCUCCUCCUAAAGAGUAACGGAGGAGCACGAAGGUACGCUCAGCGCGGUCGGACAUCGCGCACUGUGUGCAAAGGCAUAAGCGUGCUUGACUGCAAGAUCGACGGAUCAAGCAGGUACGAAAGUAGGUCUUAGUGAUCCGGUGGUUCUGUAUGGAAGGGCCAUCGCUCAACGGAUAAAAGGUACUCCGGGGAUAACAGGCUGAUACCGCCCAAGAGUUCAUAUCGACGGCGGUGUUUGGCACCUCGAUGUCGGCUCAUCACAUCCUGGGGCUGUAGUCGGUCCCAAGGGUAUGGCUGUUCGCCAUUUAAAGUGGUACGCGAGCUGGGUUCAGAACGUCGUGAGACAGUUCGGUCCCUAUCUGCCAUGGGCGUUGGAAGUUUGAGAGGGGCUGCUCCUAGUACGAGAGGACCGGAGUGGACGAACCUCUGGUGUUCCGGUUGUCACGCCAGUGGCAUUGCCGGGUAGCUAUGUUCGGAAGCGAUAACCGCUGAAAGCAUCUAAGCGGGAAGCGCGCCUCAAGAUGAGACUUCCCGGGGCACAAGCCCCCUAAAGGAACCAUGUAGACUACGUGGUUGAUAGGUCAGGUGUGUAAGUACAGCAAUGUAUUGAGCUAACUGAUACUAAUGAUCCGUGCGGCUUGACCAU
This 2881-nucleotide ribosomal RNA is filed under the name Xanthomonas phaseoli pv. dieffenbachiae. RNAcentral's name for it is "23S ribosomal RNA". It matches the Rfam family "Bacterial large subunit ribosomal RNA". The record is from RNAcentral. RNAcentral also lists the same sequence under 17 other names. Lineage: Bacteria; Pseudomonadati; Pseudomonadota; Gammaproteobacteria; Lysobacterales; Lysobacteraceae.